UGCCGCUAGAAUUUAAUUAACGGUACAUCCUGCCCAGUGAAUCAUUAAACGGCCGCGGUACCCUGACCGUGCAAAGGUAGCAUAAUCACUUGCCUAUUAAUUGUAGGCUAGAAUGAAAGGACAAACGAGAAUAAAGCUGUCUCCUUUAAGAACAUAAAACUUUAUAUUUGAGUGAAGAAGCUCAAAUACUUCCGCAGGACAAGAAGACCCUAUAGAGCUUUACCCAAAACAUCUAACCAGGAGAUGCCACGGUUCGGUUGGGGCGACCGGGGAGUAAUAAUCAUCCCUAAAACCUUAGAUCUACACAUCACAAAAACGAUCCUUUCUAAAGAUCAAUGAACCAAGCUACCUUAGGGAUAACAGGCUAAUCCUCUUUUAGAGCUCUUAUCGACAAGAGGGAUUGGCACCUCGAUGUUGGCUUAGGACUUCUUCGUGACGCAGCAGUCACGACCAGAUGGUUUGUUCAACCAUUAAACUCCU
Molecule: ribosomal RNA, 480 nt
Filed under: Tubificoides pseudogaster
Lineage: Eukaryota; Metazoa; Annelida; Clitellata; Tubificida; Naididae
Also listed under: 1 other name
Description: partial 16S ribosomal RNA
Rfam family: Bacterial large subunit ribosomal RNA
Source: RNAcentral